RNAcentral lists this ribosomal RNA (828 nucleotides) under Triticum aestivum (bread wheat). RNAcentral describes it as "partial small subunit ribosomal RNA". The record is from RNAcentral. Lineage: Eukaryota; Viridiplantae; Streptophyta; Magnoliopsida; Poales; Poaceae.
AUGGCCUCGGAGGCCGGCUCAGCGGUGCUUGGUGCUGUUGUGCGGUCUCUUGGGAAGCUGCUCAAGUACGAGUUGGGCCUGGCCAAGACCGUGAAGAAUGGGAUUACCAGCCUCCAGCGUGAGCUCCGUUGCAUGGACGCUUUUCUUGGGGAUGGCUCCGGCAUGCCGCCCCACCAGCUUGAAUCACAGUUGCAGCUCUCGGCCCGCGAGGAGGUCCGGGAGCUGUCGCAUACCAUUGAGACACGCCUCCACUCCUUCCGGGUGCGCAUCGAGUCGACCGAGGGCUCCCGUUUUGAUGUCAUGAGAAAGGUGAGGAAGCUGAAAAUUAAGCAUGACAUAGCCAGUUACAUCAAAGAUACACAAAUCAUGGUUAAGGAGAUGCGUGAUCGGCAUGCUCAGUACCGCUCCAUGAGUUCCCGGGAAAGUACUUCCAGACGGAAAGGGGACACUCGGAGAUUUGCCACGUACACCAGGGAAUCUAACCCUGUUGGCAUAGACGGGCCAAUUGCCGAUCUGACCGAAAAGCUGUCCAAGAUCGAUCAUGUCUCCAUUGUUGGGAUGGGGGGGCUGGGCAAGACCACCCUUGCUCGAGCUCUCUAUGACAAGUUGAAAGGGCGGUUCCAUUGCGGGGCUUUUGUUCACUUCGGUCAGAGCGCUGACGUUGAGAAUGUUCUGAAGGACAUCUUGUAUGAACUUCACAUGGACAAAUAUGGCAAGGAACCAAACAUACACCAGCCAAUCAACCGGCUGCAAGAUUUCAUGCUGGAUAAGAGGUACGCAUGCAUAUACAGUUAUUCUCAUCGAUGUUUGCUAGUCAUCUACAUAUAG